This 497-nucleotide ribosomal RNA is filed under the name uncultured bacterium. RNAcentral's name for it is "partial 16S ribosomal RNA". It matches the Rfam family "Bacterial small subunit ribosomal RNA", at positions 28 to 507 of the family's 1533-position model. The record is from RNAcentral.
GACGAACGCUGGCGGCGUGCCUAAUACAUGCAAGUUGAGCGCUGAAGUUUGGUACUUGUACCAACUGGAUGAGCAGCGAACGGGUGAGUAACGCGUGGGGAAUCUGCCUUUGAGCGGGGGACAACAUUUGGAAACGAAUGCUAAUACCGCAUAAAAACUUUAAACACAAGUUUUAAGUUUGAAAGAUGCAAUUGCAUCACUCAAAGAUGAUCCCGCGUUGUAUUAGCUAGUUGGUGAGGUAAAGGCUCACCAAGGCGAUGAUACAUAGCCGACCUGAGAGGGUGAUCGGCCACAUUGGGACUGAGACACGGCCCAAACUCCUACGGGAGGCAUCAGUAGGGAAUCUUCGGCAAUGGACGAAAGUCUGACCGAGCAACGCCGCGUGAGUGAAGAAGGGUUUCGGAUCGUAAAACUCUGUUGGUAGAGAAGAACGUUGGUGAGAGUGGAAAGCUCAUCAAGUGACGGUAACUACCCAGAAAGGGACGGCUAACUACGUG